GCCUCCCAACAAAACCUUACCAGCCGCGGCCCGCUGAAUCAUACAAACAACACGAAAUACACAGAAAUACACGAUAUACACCCUUCUCCUCUAUCUCUAUGGCAAGGCAAAUACCUUCACAUUCACUUAUACACUAUUCGCGACUUGUAAUAGCUAAUAAUUGACGGAAAAACAUCCUUCACUAUCAGCUGGCCUCGCCACAAACCGCGGCCCGCUAAACCAUUCAAACACUAGACAAUACAAAAUAUAUAGAGGAACAUCCUUCAUUUUCUUACCCAUCUCCAUAUCAAUACAAACAUCACACAUAUAUCAGAACAUCAAAGGAAACUUGCAGAAAUGUAGAAACUCGUCAUAACUACCAAACGAGCCGAACAACACCGCCCCUCCCCCCUCAUUAACCCCCACUUGAAACAACCGGACCACAGUCUGCAAAAAUAUCUAAAUACGACGCAAUACAUUAAUAUACACGACUUUUACCUGUCUCUUCAUCAAGAUCAGUCAUUCAUACAUAUUUUGACAUCAAUAUACACUUGUACAUUACCUGAGGAGGCAGUACGGGGCUGAAUAUAACAGAACGAGUGGCUACGUGCGGCGCAGCAGGCAGCUGGCGGGAACAGCAGGACCGCAGGGCGGCGCCAAGACCCCACUCUGUACAAGGGAAUGACGCAGGACGGAGACGGAGUUACAUUCUUGUGAAUUUCUCCAGUUGUUCGUGCUCCAGAGCUAUUUCACGGUGUCCAGAGGAGGCGAGGUACACCAGCACCCUUGUGAAGUACAAGUGCAACGUAAAGAAAAGGAGAAAGGUGUCUUGUUCCUCUGCCCGCCAACACGAUGCUGCGAUUACGAGUCACUGGACGUGGAGGCGACGGAGACAUCGAGAGAGAGAGAGAGAACAAGACUCCGGCAUUGAUAUCGGUCUAUCGCCGCGCCUUGAGGGAAGAACUCAUGUGCACAGGCAAUACGGCACAUCAAGGAGCAGGAAGCCGCGCCCCACCGGUUACCUUCAAACGCCAGGCGGAUAUUUCCAUCGCCAUCCUUGUCUAAUUUCCUGGACGACACACGCAGGCUUUGUGACGAGGUGAAUGUUACGCAACGCAGAAUAGAUGACAGCUAAUUACAUUUCUGAAUUAUCAUUACUUGGAUUUCAUAUGACGCCAUACUUCUAAUGUACGAAUGAAUGUUUUUUUCUCUCUCUCUUUUAGUCUGCGUCUCUUCAUCUCGCAUAAUCCAUUGAGUACCACGUAUAGAGAUUCUGUUAAUUAAUUUCUCCAUUGGUUGUUCUUGAAAUUCUAUUGAAAUUCAACCUUGCAACUUUCCUAAAUGUGAUGCGAGGGAAUUUGAGACUAGCAAGGAUUAUUAAACGACAUUAUUACU
Scylla paramamosain (green mud crab) is the source of this 1374-nucleotide long non-coding RNA. RefSeq lists it as uncharacterized. Lineage: Eukaryota; Metazoa; Arthropoda; Malacostraca; Decapoda; Portunidae. The record is from RefSeq and is a predicted model, not a curated record. The transcript has 5 exons.